UCCCUGUUCUGGGACUCGUUCCAUGCAUCCUCUGCAUCUUUAGGUCUUUAAACGGGGCUUCUUGCUCGUUCAUCCUCCCAGUUGCGGCUGUAUCUCUUUGUAAUGAGCCACGGUCCUUCACUUUUCCAGGGCCGCCAUAGACUCUUCGUUGUAGCCCCAUACAGCGUCUUGCCUGAUGGUAUGUCUGGUCCAGGAAUCAUUCUUCCUACAAUGCAGAGGGACGACCUGUGUGCCAAAUGCCGCUGAUGGACUUGUGGGUGGAGCGCCAUAGGGAGGCGAGUCGGCUGUGGUGUAGGUGGAGAGCAAGCCUCAACAUGGCAGCCUGAGAUGAUGGAUGCUGGGCAGGAGAGCGGUCAAGGUGCUACAUGCAGCCUCAGAGGGGUGGAGCUUCAUGCUGAGAAAUGGUUUGAGCGGUGCUGUGCGGGCUGCCUUUGCAAUGGGAAGAGCAGUUGAGGUGCCCCAGGUGAUGAUGGCUGCUGCAUUGGAUGUUCGAAUUGGGACAGAACAGAUGAUAAUCAAGAGGAACCUGGCACUGCAGGAUCGUCCCAGUUAGCUGACUCGUUUUGAGCUUUUUCUGCCAGGGAUGGCUUCAGACCUUUGGCCCUCUGAAAGU
Cuculus canorus (common cuckoo) is the source of this 613-nucleotide long non-coding RNA. RefSeq lists it as uncharacterized. The transcript has 7 exons. The record is from RefSeq and is a predicted model, not a curated record. NCBI's taxonomy places the organism in Eukaryota, Metazoa, Chordata, Aves, Cuculiformes, Cuculidae.